This 1897-nucleotide long non-coding RNA is filed under the name Dermacentor andersoni. RNAcentral describes it as "uncharacterized LOC126539087". Lineage: Eukaryota; Metazoa; Arthropoda; Arachnida; Ixodida; Ixodidae. The record is from RNAcentral.
UUUAAAGGCUAGCACAAGUGACAUAGAAUGAACAGUGUCAUUGUUAUGGUGACAGUACAAUACGUAGUAUGCAUAUUUCAUUAAAUAUUGGCUAUACCAGUUACAAUAAGACAUGGCGGUCAUGUAGAAGAAGGAAAAAUAAAGCGUAGAAACCUCGUAAUAAUCAACUGUUCAGAAACGAGCGUACUGCGUAUUUAAAAUGCAAUAAUGAGGUCACAUUUUAUGUCUAAAAUGUGCGAUUGUUACACCUGCGUGUACUAUACCUUGUUUUUUUUAAAAUUAACCUGUACUAGCCGCAAACGAGCAGCGAAAUUACGAGCAGCGCGAAAGGAUUGGUGCAGCUAUACGACCGAGAGAAAAACACUGCAGGUCGCGCGAGCGGUGAUAUCGGCAACUCCAAAGCAAACACUUAUGCCGAAGAGUUUGUCAUCACGAGUGGCUGAUACGCUCCUCGGAAACUGAACGUUUUCUGACACCCCGUGGUCCGUAACCCUUUGUGGCCGAGUGUACUUUCCCCUGUGCUCCCUAGUGCUUCAUUGUUUCUUCGCAUGGUUGGGACUGACAAAUCACCGAGCCCUUCGGAUAGUCUCAUUCUUCUCGCUCUGAGACCGGUAAGGUGUUGCUUGCUUGCUUGCUUAACAAGUUUAUCUAUCUCUUCGGAUGAAGAUCAUCUUUUGCAAUCGGAUGAGAAGGCAACGGGGGCUUUUUUAGAUUACGGUUUCUUUAGAGACCGCGAGCUAAGCCGCUCGUGCUUACAUACAGAACAUACACGCUCUCGAAGAGUCUUUCUUGGAUGGGCCGGUCCAUGUCAACGGUGUAGCCUACGCUUCAGGUAUAUUGUCGACCUGCAGUCUCGGGCUACAAAAAUGGCGGACGCCAAGUCCCGAGUAUGCGGCCAGCUAAACUGGACGUCUUACGUGAGCCUCCUGUGAAAGUGAAAGUGAAAGUGGACGUUUUUGCCGUUACAGGAGCGUGAAAUAGUUGCACAGCCUAGCGUAACGUUUCUCUUUGCUGCCCCAUUAGGUGCUGCCAGAAUCGGCGAUAGAGCCGGCCCGACGAAAACGGCGACAUAUCGGCUUACGUCUACACCAGAAACGAGGCGGAAUCGUCCGAGGAGGCCCAGCGUUCCCACCGGUCGAACUCAGUACACGCGUCACUCAAGCAACACGACAGGUGGUGAUAUCAACACGUCCAUGAUUUUCACCAUUCACGUAAGUGGAACCGUAUGCCUCGUACAUCUGUACUAAACUGUGUCGCGUACACAGCAAGAGAAUAUGUAUGUCGCGGAAUCGGCUGCUUCCUGGCUCGAAAUGCCGCUGAAUUCAUUAUUGGUGUCUGCUUCCAGCGGCACGUAGUUGCUCCCGUGCGCAGUCGGCUGUUGAAUUCCGAGACCCUUCGCGGGAAAACAGUUGACUGCGGGUCUGUUUAAUCAAGCCAUUUUCUCCCCCGGAUUCAUCAAGUAAGAGCCGCGCAUGGGUAUAAUAAAUACUAAAUACAGUAGGGUCCCGUUAAAACUAACUCGAAGGAACCGUGAAUAUCUGCUCGCCGUAUGAAAAGUUCAUCUUUAACAGAAAGGAUCUGAAUAACAGAACGCAUUAUUCCUGGUAAACCACACGAACCAACAAAUGAAACUGCACCAAAAGCAAAAGGCAGACGCAAAAUGAUAGUCAUUUGUUAAUUUUUCAUGAUGCAAGUGCUUUAAGAACACUUAGGCUAUUCAGUAACUGUUGCUUGCCGGCAUUUGACAAACCUGUGCGCUGUCACAAAAGCUGAAAUUUUACUUUAACGUAAUAGUUCUGCGGAAACCCGCAAGGUCUAGAGAAGUAAUUAAUAAAGGGAAAAUGAGACAUCCACCCAAACAUACCUAAGUGCUACAAAGGAAACCCAUACGGGUUCC